Molecule: ribosomal RNA, 253 nt
Filed under: uncultured bacterium
Lineage: Bacteria
Description: partial 16S ribosomal RNA
Rfam family: Bacterial small subunit ribosomal RNA
Source: RNAcentral
UACGUAGGUGGCAAGCGUUGUCCGGAUUUACUGGGCGUAAAGAGCGCGCAGGCGGUCGUUCAAGUCGCGUGUGAAAGCCCCCGGCUCAACUGGGGAGGGUCACGCGAUACUGAUCGACUGGAAGGCAGGAGAGGGUAGUGGAAUUCCCGGUGUAGUGGUGAAAUGCGUAGAUAUUGGGAGGAACACCGGUGGCGAAGGCGGCUACCUGGACCGGUUCUGACGCUGAUGCGCGAAAGCGUGGGGAGCAAACAGG